UAGAAGCAACAUCAGCAGCAAACCUCUGUGAGGGAGCUAUUUCUGGCAGGCAACCCAGUGAUGGGUCUGUUGGACAUGUGGACACUUGAUUGGGCUGAGCUUUCUACACCUCCAAAAUACCAGGGGCACUCCAGACCCCCUGAAAGCUCUAGAGUAAAUCCUGUUCUCUCUGGCUGCUAGAUGCACUCCUUCUAGUACGAAUCUGCUCUACAUUGUGUGAACUCCUCAUAGUGCUCAAAAGGGAUGGGAAAUCUUGAAGGAGUUCAACUUUCAUCAGACUUGGCCACACAGACAGUGAUCAGCAAUAAUGGAAGCUGUGGUGCACAAAGUCCAUAGGUUGUCAAGCCUGGGUUACAGAAAACUAAAGAGCCAAUAAAAUAUUUGUAAUGACCUUGAUUCAAACUCAA
Long non-coding RNA from Anolis carolinensis (green anole), 407 nucleotides. RefSeq lists it as uncharacterized. The transcript is spliced from 2 exons. Lineage: Eukaryota; Metazoa; Chordata; Lepidosauria; Squamata; Anolidae. The record is from RefSeq and is a predicted model, not a curated record.